This 894-nucleotide ribosomal RNA is filed under the name Coniochaeta fodinicola. RNAcentral describes it as "eukaryotic LSU rRNA". It matches the Rfam family "Eukaryotic large subunit ribosomal RNA", at positions 33 to 958 of the family's 3401-position model. Lineage: Eukaryota; Fungi; Ascomycota; Sordariomycetes; Coniochaetales; Coniochaetaceae. The record is from RNAcentral.
CUUAAGCAUAUCAAUAAGCGGAGGAAAAGAAACCAACAGGGAUUGCCCUAGUAACGGCGAGUGAAGCGGCAACAGCUCAAAUUUGAAAUCUGGUCCUCGCGGCCCGAGUUGUAAUUUGUAGAGGAUGCUUUUGGACAGGUGCCUUCUGAGUUCCCUGGAACGGGACGCCAGAGAGGGUGAGAGCCCCGUAUAGUCGGACACCUAGCCUCUGUAAAGCUCCUUCGACGAGUCGAGUAGUUUGGGAAUGCUGCUCAAAAUGGGAGGUAUAUCUCUUCUAAAGCUAAAUAUAGGCCAGAGACCGAUAGCGCACAAGUAGAGUGAUCGAAAGAUGAAAAGCACUUUGAAAAGAGGGUUAAAUAGCACGUGAAAUUGUUGAAAGGGAAGCGCUUGUGACCAGACUUGUGCCGGGCUGAUCAUCCAGUGUUCUCACUGGUGCACUCGACCCGGCUCAGGCCAGCGUCGGUUCUCGCGGGGGGAUAAAAGCUUCGGGAACGUGGCUCCUCCGGGAGUGUUAUAGCCCGUUGUUUAAUACCUCCGCGGGGACCGAGGUUCGCGCUCUGCAAGGACGCUGGCAUAAUGGUCAUCAGCGACCCGUCUUGAAACACGGACCAAGGAGUCGAGGUUUUGCGCGAGUGUUUGGGUGUAAAACCCGCACGCGUAAUGAAAGUGAACGUAGGUGAGAGCUUCGGCGCAUCAUCGACCGAUCCUGAUGUAUUCGGAUGGAUUUGAGUAAGAGCGUAUAGCCUCGGACCCGAAAGAUGGUGAACUAUGCCUGAAUAGGGUGAAGCCAGAGGAAACUCUGGUGGAGGCUCGCAGCGGUUCUGACGUGCAAAUCGAUCGUCAAAUUUGGGCAUGGGGGCGAAAGACUAAUCGAACCAUCUAGUAGCUGGUUAC